AUUUCUUAGGGCCCAAUUCUGCUCUCAUUCAAAUCAAUGAGAGUUCUACCAUUGACUUAACUGGGAGCACAAUUGGGACCUAAGA
Molecule: non-coding RNA, 85 nt
Filed under: Chrysemys picta bellii (western painted turtle)
Lineage: Eukaryota; Metazoa; Chordata; Testudines; Emydidae
Also listed under: 1 other name
Source: RNAcentral